Molecule: unclassified non-coding RNA, 332 nt
Filed under: soil metagenome
Description: partial contains 5.8S ribosomal RNA, internal transcribed spacer 2, and large subunit ribosomal RNA
Rfam family: 5.8S ribosomal RNA (bases 1-120)
Source: RNAcentral
GAUGAAGAACGUAGCAAAAUGCGAUAAGUAAUGUGAAUUGCAGAAUUCAGUGAAUCAUCGAAUCUUUGAACGCACAUUGCGCCCGCCAGUAUUCUGGCGGGCAUGCCUGUUCGAGCGUCAUUUCAACCCUCAAGCACAGCUUGGUGUUGGGACUCGCGUUAAUUCGCGUUCCCCAAAUUGAUUGGCGGUCACGUCGAGCUUCCAUAGCGUAGUAGUAAAACCCUCGUUACUGGUAAUCGUCGCGGCCACGCCGUUAAACCCCAACUUCUGAAUGUUGACCUCGCAUCAGGUAGGAAUACCCGCUGAACUUAAGCAUAUCAAUAAGCGGAGGA